This 318-nucleotide long non-coding RNA is filed under the name Physcomitrium patens. Its description in RNAcentral is "long non-coding RNA (PPAT_LNC004724)". The record is from RNAcentral. Lineage: Eukaryota; Viridiplantae; Streptophyta; Bryopsida; Funariales; Funariaceae.
AUUGGGUUUUAAAACAUGCUUCAUUGUGGUCGAUAGCUGCCUUGGACUCCCAAGUAUUCCAAGGGUUUCAAGAGCCUCGGAUUUCCCUCAAUUAGUCAAUCAUUUUUUUUAGUUUCUACAUAAAAUUCUAUGUAAUUUUAGAUUUUAUUUUUACUAUUCCAAAAAGAUAAGGCUUGCUCAAUUUGGAGUUGAAUUCAAUUUUUAGUGAAAUUUUGAGUAUGACGGAGUCGACUGCCAUUGCCGUUUAAAUUAAUCAAGUUUGAAAAGGCAUUUCUCAGUGCAUUAUAACUGGAUUUAAUUGAAAUUUUGGGAGCAUUG